GACGAACGCUGGCGGCGUGCUUAACACAUGCAAGUCGAACGGAAAGGCCUGCUUUCCCUUGUGGAUUGCGGGUACUCGAGUGGCGAACGGGUGAGUAACACGUGAGUGAUCUGCCCCCAACUUGGGUAUAAGCCUGGGAAACUGGGUCUAAUUCCCGAUAGGACUGCAGGGUGGUGCCUGUGGUGGAAAACGAUUUUCUAGUGGUUGGGGAUGAGCUCGCGGCCUAUCAGCUUGUUGGUGGGGUAAUGGCCUACCAAGGCGGCGACGGGUAGCCGGCCUGAGAGGGUCGACGGCCACAUUGAGACUGGGAUACGGCCCCGACUCCUACGGGAGGCAGCCGUGGGGACUAUUGGACCGUGGGCGGAAGCCUGCUGCAGCGACGCCGCGUGGGGGAUGACGGCCUUCGGGUUGUAAACUCCUUUCGACCGCGAGGAAGCCACCUGGUUGGAAGGGUGGUGACGGUAGUGGUAGAAGAAGCACCGGCUAACUACGUG
RNAcentral lists this ribosomal RNA (494 nucleotides) under uncultured bacterium. RNAcentral's name for it is "partial 16S ribosomal RNA". It matches the Rfam family "Bacterial small subunit ribosomal RNA", at positions 28 to 507 of the family's 1533-position model. The record is from RNAcentral.